This 396-nucleotide ribosomal RNA is filed under the name Triticum aestivum (bread wheat). RNAcentral describes it as "partial small subunit ribosomal RNA". The record is from RNAcentral. Lineage: Eukaryota; Viridiplantae; Streptophyta; Magnoliopsida; Poales; Poaceae.
AUGGACAUCUUUUGGAGGAACACUGGAUCUGCUCCCAUGUCCCUCCAUCUCUCGGAGAGAAGAAACACAGUAUGUACUAGCUACCUGAUUAUUGGACUGCUCAUUACAAUGCUUGGUUUGUCACUCAUAUUGUUUGGCCUAUUUUAUGCUCACCAAGAUGUCGAGCAAACCUAUCAUUCUUUUUUGGGGGUGUUGUGUGUAAUUCAUGGGGUUGGGACCUUCCAAACCUUCACUUCGGGAAUAAAUGAUCAGGCUCUCAGUGCUCAAAAUCAGCAAAACAUGUUAAAAGGGCAGUUUCAAAUAAACCAUGCUGGCCGAUUGCCAACCACUCCCAUUGUAUUGUUUGCAAGCUAUGCUAGGCCACGUCUUGGUUUUGUCAUGCUGACUUUUUUCUGA